ACUCAGUGAGCAUAGCCUUGCUGUUGAGAAAAGCCGCCGUAGGCAGACAUGGCUCUCAAGAGAAGACAGGAGUCUUUACUAUUAAUCUACAAUGAAGAAAGUAGUCAAAUUAAAGAAAAACCCUUGAAUUUAUAUAUUUACGCUGCUGUGAUUCACUGAUUGGUAAGAGAGGUAAACAACACAGAAUAUGAGAGGUAAACAACACAGAAUAUGAGAGGUAAACAACACAGAAUAUGAGAGGUAAACAACACAGAAUAUGAGAGGUAAACAACACAGAAUAUGAGAGGUAAACAACACAGAAUAUGAGAGGUAAACAACACAGAAUAUGAGAGGUAAACAACACAGAAUAUGAGAGGUAAACAACACAGAAUAUGAGAGGUAAACAACACAGAAUAUGAGAGGUAAACAACACAGAAUAUGAGAGGUAAACAACACAGAAUAUGAGAGGUAAACAACACAGAAUAUGAGAGGUAAACAACACAGAAUAUGAGAGGUAAACAACACAGAAUAUGAGAGGUAAACAACACAGAAUAUGAGAGGUAAACAACACAGAAUAUGAGAGGUAAACAACACAGAAUAUGAGAGGUAAACAACACAGAAUAUGAGAGGUAAACAACACAGAAUA
Long non-coding RNA from Oncorhynchus keta (chum salmon), 625 nucleotides. RefSeq lists it as uncharacterized. The record is from RefSeq and is a predicted model, not a curated record. The transcript has 3 exons. Lineage: Eukaryota; Metazoa; Chordata; Actinopteri; Salmoniformes; Salmonidae.